UCAGUACCAGUGACGUCAGACCUUGCGACGAGCAAGCGACGCGCGAUAAUCACAAACUGUCUUUAGAACAUUUCUACACAUACAGUCGCUUGCGGCUGUUGAGUCAGCGGAAUGUGGCGUUUCGUCUUUGUGCUCCUGCUUCUUGGAGGUUGUGGUGCCCAUGGGGCCAUAUGGGACAUUACAAUUCAUACAUCUGACGAAAAAGACGCGGGAACAGACUCCGACAUCUAUCUUACUCUCCAUGGAUCUCGCGGAUCUUCUGCAGAAAUAAUGUUACCCGAUUAUUUCAACGACUUUGAGAGAAAUCAGAUCGGCAGAUUCCUUGUUACAACGGACGACAUUGGUGAAGUGUGCUCACUGACCGUCAGGAAUGCCGGUAACUACGGUAACCGUGACUGGCAUCUCCGAGAGAUUGUGGUUCACGGAAGUUCACAAAAGAAGUUUUGGUGCAACUGCUGGUUAUCAGAGUCAGAUGGAUAUCAGAGGGAACUCCAACCUGAUGUCCCAUGCUCCAGGCAGUAGAAAUAAGUAAAACGAUGUGGGUGCAGACUUUGAAUCCGGCACUGACUAAUCAGCAUAAAAGUAUUAAAGUAUCAUUUAGAAACGCAUACCUAUAUUAGAAAUCACCAGAGUUGAUUCACCUGAUGGAACACCUUGCUCAUCGGCUAACUGGAAGACAUUUAAAGAUAUAAAAAUGAACAUUCUUUAAAAUUGAGACAAAAAUUUGUUCUAUAGAAAGACACUAUAUUCAAUGAUCUUCAAAUUUAAUACUGCUUGAAUGUCAUUUAAAAAAAAAAUACAUUUUCUGAGUAUUAUCUAUUAUAGUCAGAAUUCUCAUUUAAACUACUUGAAAAAAACUUUUCUCAGAUAGUUAUUUUACAUUUGAUUAUUCUGUCACAAGAUGUAAUGAAAAGUUAGGAAGUACAUGUACACUAGCCAACCCUAAAGAGUAGUCAACUGUAGACGCUUCUGCAAAAGUCUACCUUAUAACCCAAGGUCUUUUACCCAACAAGCAAUUCUAAAGUGAACAAUUCUAUAAAAAGUAAAAGAGUGAAAAUAAUGUCUAAUUUGUCGAAAAAAAAGCGUGGUCUAAGAUUUUUAACUUUAUCGUUGUAAAUGUCAUCGAAAACGCAAGGUGAAAAUAAAAAAGUUGAAUCACAA
Pomacea canaliculata is the source of this 1161-nucleotide RNA transcript. It is a transcript of the gene named lipoxygenase homology domain-containing protein 1-like, with no coding region annotated. Lineage: Eukaryota; Metazoa; Mollusca; Gastropoda; Architaenioglossa; Ampullariidae. The transcript has 5 exons. The record is from RefSeq and is a predicted model, not a curated record.